GGCCGGUUAGCUCAGUUGGUUAGAGCGUCGUGCUAAUAACGCGAAUGUCGUGGGUUCGAGCCCCAUACCGACCA
This 74-nucleotide transfer RNA is filed under the name Octopus vulgaris (common octopus). It matches the Rfam family "tRNA". Rfam says of the family: Transfer RNA (tRNA) molecules are approximately 80 nucleotides in length. Their secondary structure includes four short double-helical elements and three loops (D, anti-codon, and T loops). RNAcentral also lists the same sequence under 1 other name. Lineage: Eukaryota; Metazoa; Mollusca; Cephalopoda; Octopoda; Octopodidae. The record is from Rfam by way of RNAcentral.